CGCGCUGAGACCGCGUUCCGACUGUGACGUCGGCGGGUGACCCCCCCCCCAGGUGUGGCUGGCUCGAGUUCACAACCCCUUUCAUGAGAUGCACCGCAUGUCGAGCCAUCGAUCAUUCCCUGCGGACGAUCCCGGGUGGAAAGACUCGUGGGCGCUCAGGGACGUCCAUCAGGCCGUCAAGGCCCGUCAUCCAGGUUGUAGCAGGAGAUUUCUUCCGUAGAGAUGGCUCCUGGAGGAGCCCCGACCCGUCAGCCGCCCUCUGGAAGAGCUGAGUGAGCUGCCGGCUGGAAGGCUCCUAGGUGAGCCAUCGGGACCCUCCGACGCCAGUGCCGGGGUGGCGCACGGUGGCCCCUGGUAUGUGUGUGCUCCAUGCACGGAGACGGAUUUACUGGUGUGCGGCACCCAGCGUGGUGCUGGCUGCUGGGGCUGCGCGUGCCUUUCCUGCAUGUCCCUGAGGAGUCUGAACGAUUGGAGUGGAAUUAGGGGCCAGGGGCCAGGGACCUGCUCAUCCUCUCCAAGAAGCUUAUACGCUCAUCAGAAAGGUGGAACAAUGUGAAUGGUUAGAGAUCUUCAACUUUCAAAGCCUCCCGUCCUCAGCAAGGUCAAGCAAGGCUGUGACAGACAGCGGCAUCUCCAGCUGGCCCGGCAUGCACCAGUGCUGCCCACACCUCCCCGGGAAAGGUGUCCUGGGAGGAGAGGGCAGAAUUGGCUGCGGGCCCUGCAGCCCUGUCCCGUGCCCCUCAGCCCUCCCCUGCCCGGGACAGGGAAGUGGUCCCGGAGGUGUUGAGUCAUCACCAGGUGCUGCUGUGCAGGGGCGGAGGGUGCCGGUGGCCCAGGGGUAUCGAUCCCACCCUUUUCCCGUGGGAAGUAAGUUCAUGUUUGUGUGGCCAGCUUGCCUUGUCUUUCUCUUCCUUGCAGCCAGACGCCUUCCUAAGGGUACAAGGUCCUGCCUCAGCUGCUGCUUGCCCUCCUGUUCAUGCUGUCUCACUGCAGUGUAGACGAUGUGAGUUGUGCAGAGCCCUUGCCCAGUGGUGUCUGGUGGCACUGCCAGCCACUCUGGCCUUGGUUCUGUGCCGUUUGCAAGCCCAUCUCAGGCGGUGUCUUCACACGCGCCUCUGCUGUCUUGGAACGGCUUCUUCCCGCCCCUCUCACCCCCGCCCAGCCAGCACUUCAUGGCCUGGACGACUCCUCCUGAUUCCCCGGAGCCUCAGUUUCCCUGUUGCUGUCAGGAAACGUAGACACAGAGCUCCCUGUGACCCUUGCUUUAAACUCUCACAGCAACAUUUAUUUUCCUUCAACAUGUUCAUCAUAGUUAUAAGCAAAUAAUCCUUUGGGUGGUGGAAAGGUGAUUUUUUUUCCUUGUGCUUGGCUGCAAGAGAGCAUGGGGCACGUGUUUUCGUGGGUGUGUUUGUCUGGCACGUGGCAGGGCACAGGGCACGUGAGGGGGACUUGAGAAGUGCAUCAACCCGGGAGGAGUAGUGGAUCAGCUCGUGUGCAGUGAACUCGGCCACGUGUUCCUGAAACGCAGGGACCACUGGGCGGACCUAAGAGCAGGAAACCAGUGCGAGUCACUCGGGCUGUGACGUUCCUAGUCUGCCCCCAGCGGGGCAGCUGACCUCGCCAGAGGCCGGCAGCCUGGGCACAGGGACAGGGCUCUGGCGGCAGGGAGGCCAGGGAGCGUGGGUCAGGGAGCUUCACGGGUGCAGUGGAGGAAUACUAGACCCGGGCAGGUUCUCACGUGCUCGCCUUGCGCCCUCCUUCCUGCUCCCUUGCUGAAGCCUCCACAGCUGGGGCCGCCAUCUGCACUCUCAGCUCAGCUGGCAAGGGGGCCGCGGGGCCGCCCCGGGGCCACCAUCGUGAUUUACACCGCCACACUUGUUCCACCUUCUGGGGAAAAUGGGAUGGGGUGAGACAUAAAGAAACAUUAUUUCCCGAAGGUGGACUCCAUUUCUUUAACCAUUCAUAAGUGUCAAAAACUAACUUACGACCCCUCGGGGGCUGGUAUUAUAUUUCAGUGACUCUCCAGCUGUGAUUGCUGCGUACAUUCUAGAGCAUCCCUCUCCCCCACAGGCACACCCUGUGCACGCACAGCAGUGGCAAUGCAGCCACAGCCAGCUGUGUCCGCGAGCGGCCAGGGCGGCGGGACACCGUCACGCCGGGUGAGUGUCAGCACGCACCACACGGGGUGAGGAAACCGUCCCGUUCGUGUUGUUCUUGUGAUUGAUUAAAUCUGGCUUUUGUGAGCCCAUAAAAAGUGAGGCAGUCGGGGGACUCUGGGCUCGGUGCAAAUGUGAACUACCUAUGGCAGGUGCUUUCAGCCCUGAGAAGUCUGCCCAUUAACACGCAGGACGGCCAUCCUGUGAUGUCGCGAUGCUCUGUCUGGGCCCCAGUGAAAGAGAACGGGGCCUCGGAGCAUCCAAACAGGCGUGGGGACCACGGCGAGUCCUCUGCUUCCCCACAUGCAGGAGCCGUCAGGGAAGCACGAGAUAAUAUAAAAUUGCAUGUUUAUUCGUUAUUAGAAGAGACCAAAGAGUAUAGUUACCGACUGUAUUUUUUAUUAUGGUAUGGCAGUAUCGUUUAGCCUUAUUAUAUCCGCUAAUCAAAAGUUUUCUUACGUUUUCUGAAGGGGCAGCCCCAGAGAGUGCCUGGCCUGGAUGUGGGACCGCAGGGGAGGCCUGGGG
Molecule: non-coding RNA, 2681 nt
Organism: Delphinapterus leucas (beluga whale)
Lineage: Eukaryota; Metazoa; Chordata; Mammalia; Artiodactyla; Monodontidae
Source: RefSeq, a predicted model, not a curated record